Molecule: non-coding RNA, 75 nt
Organism: Podarcis lilfordi (Lilford's wall lizard)
Lineage: Eukaryota; Metazoa; Chordata; Lepidosauria; Squamata; Lacertidae
Source: the annotation of a GenBank genome assembly
AACCAGUUGUAGCUCAGCUGGUAAAGCCUGAGACUCUUAAUCUUAGGGUCGUGGGUUCGAGCCCUGCAUUGGGCA